AAACCGUGAUGAGGACACUGAUUAGUAUAGUUUCAAAACCGUUCCCAAGCUUCUCCAAAGCUUUCAUUUGUGUGCUGAGUGAAAUUUGAAAUAUGGUUUCUGAGCUU
Eutrema salsugineum is the source of this 107-nucleotide small nucleolar RNA. It matches the Rfam family "Plant small nucleolar RNA R71". From Rfam's summary of the family: R71 is a member of the C/D box family of snoRNAs containing the C (UGAUGA) and D (CUGA) box motifs. Multiple nearly identical copies of this snoRNA have been identified in Arabidopsis, and it is thought to function as a 2'-O-ribose methylation guide for 18S ribosomal RNA. Lineage: Eukaryota; Viridiplantae; Streptophyta; Magnoliopsida; Brassicales; Brassicaceae. The record is from Rfam.